This is a long non-coding RNA of Marmota flaviventris (yellow-bellied marmot), 633 nucleotides long. RefSeq lists it as uncharacterized. The record is from RefSeq and is a predicted model, not a curated record. NCBI's taxonomy places the organism in Eukaryota, Metazoa, Chordata, Mammalia, Rodentia, Sciuridae.
CUCCACCUGCGUCCUCCUGGGACAGUGACUAGGGCGCCGCGCCCCUCGCGCCUGGCUCCCGCAGCUUGCGCUGGUCCAGAUCUUUGAGACACAGCAGUGAAAAAGCUGACUAAAACACCCACCCUACUGCCAAAAAACACCACUAACAUUCCUAAAGCACUCAAGUCUUCACACUUCAGUAUUUCCUCCUCCCUGGGUGUGCUGGAACUGGCUUGGAUCUGUUCAUGAGACCAACUGUGCACAUCUCUUCUCAGCUCUGUGUUCAGGAUCAUACUUCAGUGUUGUGCCCUGGACUUGAAACAAUUAGAGAUGACUAUAGAAAUAGGAUUUGGAGCUCUGGAAGGAAGCAUAAUAUUUCGUUGAUAUUGGGGGUAGUUUGUUUCAAUUUUAUAACUUAAGCCAUAUUGUUUUUUGCUGUGAUAAAUAACAUUUUUUUCUUUAAAUGUAUUUAUGAAGAUGCUGAGACCAUUUGUGAUCCUGUACUUCUUCCUGUGAUGAUUUGUUUAAUAUCUAUCUGUCUCAUUAGACUGAAUCAGAAGUGAAAAAUAUAGCUCCUGAGAAAUAAGGCAAAAAGAAUUUUAAGAAGUGAAAAUCAACAUAAUAAAAUGGUUUGUGACAAAAUUAGUUGUUACU